RNAcentral lists this ribosomal RNA (497 nucleotides) under uncultured bacterium. RNAcentral's name for it is "partial 16S ribosomal RNA". It matches the Rfam family "Bacterial small subunit ribosomal RNA", at positions 28 to 507 of the family's 1533-position model. The record is from RNAcentral.
GAUGAACGCUGGCGGCGUGCCUAAUACAUGCAAGUCGAGCGAACAGACGAGGAGCUUGCUCCUCUGACGUUAGCGGCGGACGGGUGAGUAACACGUGGAUAACCUACCUAUAAGACUGGGAUAACUUCGGGAAACCGGAGCUAAUACCGGAUAAUAUAUUGAACCGCAUGGUUCAAUAGUGAAAGACGGUUUUGCUGUCACUUAUAGAUGGAUCCACGCCGCAUUAGCUAGUUGGUAAGGUAACGGCUUACCAAGGCAACGAUGCGUAGCCGACCUGAGAGGGUGAUCGGCCACACUGGAACUGAGACACGGUCCAGACUCCUACGGGAGGCAGCAGUAGGGAAUCUUCCGCAAUGGGCGAAAGCCUGACGGAGCCACGCCGCGUGAGUGAUGAAGGUCUUCGGAUCGUAAAACUCUGUUAUUAGGGAAGAACAAAUGUGUAAGUAACUAUGCACGUCUUGACGGUACCAAAACAGAAAGCCACGGCUAACUACGUG